GCCUGGUGGGCUACAGUCCAUGGGGUCACAAAGAGUCAGACAUGACUGAGCGACUCAGCACAGCACAGCACAUCUAAUAUUGAUGAAGAUACAAAAGGGGACACCAGUUUGAUCCCUGGUCCAGGAAGAUCCCACAUGCUGCGGAGCAACUAAACCUGUGUACCGAGCCUGCAUUCUGGAGGCCGUGAGCCACAACUACUGGGCCCACACGCAGCAACCACUGAAGCCUGCGAGCCCUAGUGCCUGCGCUCUGCAACUAAAGAAGCUGCCGCAAUGAGAAGCCUGCGCGCCACAACUAGAGAGUAGCCCCCACUUUCCGCAACUAGAGAAAGCUUGGAUGCAGCAACGAUGACCCAGAGCAGCUAUGAAAAUAAAAAAUAAAUUUUUAAAGAGCUAUUAGAAACAAUUUAAAUUGUAAAAAAAAAAAAAAAAAGUCUUUAAAUGCUUUUUUAUCACUUCUGAAAGUAAAACAGAGAACAUUUUCAAUGCUUAUUUAAUUAAACACAGCUAGAAACAGA
Odocoileus virginianus texanus is the source of this 518-nucleotide non-coding RNA. The record is from RefSeq and is a predicted model, not a curated record. Lineage: Eukaryota; Metazoa; Chordata; Mammalia; Artiodactyla; Cervidae.